Long non-coding RNA from Ctenopharyngodon idella (grass carp), 752 nucleotides. RefSeq lists it as uncharacterized. The record is from RefSeq and is a predicted model, not a curated record. Lineage: Eukaryota; Metazoa; Chordata; Actinopteri; Cypriniformes; Xenocyprididae. The transcript has 4 exons.
CGAUCUUGAAUUAUUAAUUCUGCCUUCAUGUGCUAUUGGAAAUUUCCUACUUCCCACUUCUGUAGUCGUGAUUACGAGCUUAUCGCAUUCAAAAUUUGACUUGAGAGGGCAUUCAUGCCCAAUUUUUUAACUAAGAAACUAGUCUUUACGAUAAUUCCGAUAGCACAUGAAGGCAGCAAAAUAUUUCGAAAGUUCGGAUACUGUGUGGCAAAGCUGUUUGAGAGGAUCACUCCGCACUUAUUACAUACAAUACUAUAGCUAGUUGAUGACCAGAAGCAAAGCCGCGGUGGUUUUGAUGGAAGAAUGAAGAGCAACAUGGCAAUGAAGACUGCAACUGUAGCAUCUGUCACAUAUCUAAAUGUGUGUGUUGCCCAGCCUGCCACAAAUCCAGGAUCUCGAGUAAACCACAACGCCACAAGCAAACUGAAGAGAGCCAGAACGCUGAGUUCACCAAAACACAUUGGUCCCAGCAGAAGAUGCUGUUCCCGGAUCACAUUGUAGGCAGCUAUUUCCUUCUCAGAUUUUACCGCCCCACAUCCCCAUGUCUUCUUAAUGCUGAGGAUGUGAACAAAGCGCUUCAUGAAAGGAAUGGAAAAAGCAAAGGGGCCUGGGGCCGCUCCUCACUGCAGGUCAUCUGUGAAGGCUCUGUCUCCUGUUUGUUCAGCUGUUCCAGCACAGCCUGCACAAUGGGGACCAUCAUGGCCGUGGUAGCCGUAUUACUGAUCCACAUGGAGAGGAAAGCUGUCACCCCC